Molecule: long non-coding RNA, 657 nt
Organism: Cydia strobilella
Lineage: Eukaryota; Metazoa; Arthropoda; Insecta; Lepidoptera; Tortricidae
Exons: 2
Source: RefSeq, a predicted model, not a curated record
UAGCAUCGAAAAGGGUGUUAGGCAGGGAUGUGUAGCGUCACCGUGGCUGUUUAAUCUGUUCAUGGACAGUAGUUUGCAUGAUUUGAGAAAUGAUGAAUGUGGGCUGAGAAUGAGUGGGUUACCUGUCAAAUGUCUUCUUUACGCUGAUGACCUGGUAUUGGUAGCGUCAUCGGGUGAAGAGUUGCAGGAGAUGGUAACUAGAAUGCAUGGAUCUUUUGAAAGGAAAGGAAUGAAAAUAAAUGUAAGUAAGACGAAAGUUAUGGUAUUUGAAAAGGAGGAAUAUAUGACAAACUGUGAAAUUUUGAUUGGUCAAGAAAGAGUAGAACAAGUGAAAGAGUUUGUAGUUUGUGUAUCUGGGAACAUUAUUCACUAGGGACGGUAAACAUGAUAAAGAUAUUGAAAGGAGAGUGAGUGCUGGAAAUCGCGUGAAUGGAGCACUUAACGCUUUUAUGAGCAGCCAGAAGGUGUCGCAAAAGGCACGUUUGGCUGUGCAUAGAGGGGUGCUGGUGCCUACACUUAUGUAUGGUAGCGAAAGUUGGGUAUGGCAGAAGAGGCAUCAGAGCCAAGUGAAUGCAGUGGAAAUGAGAGCGUUGAGAAGUGUGUGUGGUGUGAGAUUACAAGAUAGAAUUAGGAACAGUGUGAUAAGGGAAAAGUGUG